GCGGACGGGUGAGUAAUGUCUGGGAAACUGCCUGAUGGAGGGGGAUAACUACUGGAAACGGUAGCUAAUACCGCAUAACGUCGCAAGACCAAAGAGGGGGACCCUCGGGCCUCUUGCCAUCGGAUGUGCCCAGAUGGGAUUAGCUUGUUGGUGGGGUAACGGCUCACCAAGGCGACGAUCCCCAGCUGGUCUGAGAGGAUGACCAGCCACACUGGAACUGAGACACGGUCCAGACUCCUACGGGAGGCAGCAUG
Molecule: ribosomal RNA, 254 nt
Filed under: uncultured bacterium
Lineage: Bacteria
Description: partial 16S ribosomal RNA
Rfam family: Bacterial small subunit ribosomal RNA
Source: RNAcentral